AACGCGAAGAACCUUACCAAGGUUUGACAUGGCCGGAAAACUCGCAGAGAUGCGGGGUCCUUCGGGGCCGGUCACAGGUGGUGCAUGGCUGUCGUCAGCUCGUGUCGUGAGAUGUUGGGUUAAGUCCCGCAACGAGCGCAACCCUUGUCUCAUGUUGCCAGCGCGUUAUGGCGGGGACUCGUGAGAGACUGCCGGGGUCAACUCGGAGGAAGGUGGGGAUGACGUCAAGUCAUCAUGCCCCUUAUGUCCAGGGCUUCACACAUGCUACAAUGGCCGGUACAAAGGGCUGCGAUGCCGUGAGGCUUAGCGAAUCCUUUAAAGCCGGUCUCAGUUCGGAUCGGGGUCUGCAACUCGACCCCGUGAAGUCGGAGUCGCUAGUAAUCGCAGAUCAGCAACGCUGCGGUGAAUACGUUCCCGGGCCUUGUACACACCGCUGUA
RNAcentral lists this ribosomal RNA (438 nucleotides) under uncultured bacterium. RNAcentral's name for it is "bacterial SSU rRNA". It matches the Rfam family "Bacterial small subunit ribosomal RNA", at positions 958 to 1398 of the family's 1533-position model. The record is from RNAcentral.